AUUGAACGCUGGCGGCAUGCCUUACACAUGCAAGUCGAACGGUAACAGGUCUUCGGAUGCUGACGAGUGGCGAACGGGUGAGUAAUACAUCGGAACGUGCCCGAUCGUGGGGGAUAACGAAGCGAAAGCUUUGCUAAUACCGCAUACGAUCUACGGAUGAAAGCAGGGGACCGCAAGGCCUUGCGCGAACGGAGCGGCCGAUGGCAGAUUAGGUAGUUGGUGGGAUAAAAGCUUACCAAGCCGACGAUCUGUAGCUGGUCUGAGAGGACGACCAGCCACACUGGGACUGAGACACGGCCCAGACUCCUACGGGAGGCAGCAGUGGGGAAUUUUGGACAAUGGGCGAAAGCCUGAUCCAGCCGUGCCGCGUGCAGGAUGAAGGCCUUCGGGUUGUAAACUGCUUUUGUACGGAACGAAAAGACUCUGGUUAAUACCUGGGGUCCAUGACGGUACCGUAAGAAUAAGCACCGGCUAACUACGUG
Molecule: ribosomal RNA, 482 nt
Filed under: uncultured bacterium
Lineage: Bacteria
Description: partial 16S ribosomal RNA
Rfam family: Bacterial small subunit ribosomal RNA
Source: RNAcentral